UACAGAGGUCUCAACCGUUGUUCGGAUUCAUUGGGCGUAAAGGGCGCGUAGGCGGCAUGCCAAGCGUGUGGUGAAAGCCCGGGGCUCAACCCCGGGUCGGCCGUGCGGACUGGCGUGCUCGAGCACUGUAGGGGCGGGUGGAAUUCCGGGUGUAGCGGUGGAAUGCGUAGAGAUCCGGAGGAACACCGGUGGCGAAGGCGGCUUCCUGGACCGAUUACUGACGCUGAGGCGCGAAAGCUAGGGGAGCAAACGGG
This 254-nucleotide ribosomal RNA is filed under the name uncultured bacterium. Its description in RNAcentral is "partial 16S ribosomal RNA". It matches the Rfam family "Bacterial small subunit ribosomal RNA", at positions 524 to 776 of the family's 1533-position model. The record is from RNAcentral.